ACCCUACCGGCACAAACUAGAGCACAAGAAGGAGAUCGAUGCACAAGUCAAAGAACUCCUCCACAAGGGUAUUAUCCAAAAAAGCAGCAGCCCUUUUGUUCCUCGGCCAUCCUCGUCAAGAAGAAAGACGGGACGUGGAGGCUCUGUAUUGAUUACAGACACCUUAAUGCCCUCACCUACAUCGCCAAGUACCCCGUGCCGAUCAUCGAGGAGUUGCUGGACAAGUUGCACGGGGCAGCCUGGUUCUCCAAGCUGGAUCUUCGCUCUGGCUACCACCAAAUUCGCUUGGCAGAAGGUGAAGAGUACAAGACGGCCUUCCAGACGCACUCAGGCCACUAUGAAUUCCUGGUGGUCUCCUUCAGUCUAGCGAGCGGACCGACCACAUUCAAUGGUGCCCUGACGACCACUCUCAAACCAGUCGACCGCAAGUGCGUGCUCCUCUUCUUCGAUGUUUAG
Molecule: ribosomal RNA, 456 nt
Filed under: Triticum aestivum (bread wheat)
Lineage: Eukaryota; Viridiplantae; Streptophyta; Magnoliopsida; Poales; Poaceae
Description: partial small subunit ribosomal RNA
Source: RNAcentral